Molecule: transfer RNA, 70 nt
Filed under: Calopteryx maculata (black-wing damselfly)
Lineage: Eukaryota; Metazoa; Arthropoda; Insecta; Odonata; Calopterygidae
Description: tRNA-Val
Source: RNAcentral
GAAAUAUAGCUUUAUAGAAAGCAUUCCAUUUACACUGGGGGGCGUAGCUGUGCGAUUCAGCUUGUUUUGA